Molecule: ribosomal RNA, 253 nt
Filed under: uncultured bacterium
Lineage: Bacteria
Description: partial 16S ribosomal RNA
Rfam family: Bacterial small subunit ribosomal RNA
Source: RNAcentral
UACGAAGGGGGCUAGCGUUGUUCGGAAUUACUGGGCGUAAAGCGCACGUAGGCGGAUUUGUUAGUCAGGGGUGAAAUCCCGGGGCUCAACCUCGGAACUGCCUUUGAUACUGCAAGUCUCGAGUCCGGAAGAGGUGAGUGGAAUUCCUAGUGUAGAGGUGAAAUUCGUAGAUAUUAGGAAGAACACCAGUGGCGAAGGCGGCUCACUGGUCCGGUACUGACGCUGAGGAGCGAAAGCGUGGGGAGCGAACAGG